Molecule: RNA transcript, 3134 nt
Organism: Choloepus didactylus (southern two-toed sloth)
Lineage: Eukaryota; Metazoa; Chordata; Mammalia; Pilosa; Megalonychidae
Gene: ZNRF2
Gene name: zinc and ring finger 2
Exons: 7
Source: RefSeq, a predicted model, not a curated record
CAAACACACGGGUUCCGAAACCCACAGGAGCCGCGCUUCUCCUUCGCCUUCCGGUGUGAAAGGCGGGUGGCGUCUUAUUCCAGGGGGCGGCCCCACCUUCGUGGUCCAGAACCCCCGCCCCCUCACGCACCGCCCGCGCCCCUCCUUUGCGGGUAAGGCGGCCCCGCCGGCGGCGCGUUACAGAAGCGAGGCGACGGUUGCCGGGAAGCGCGUGCGGCCCCUCCUUUCCCUCCUCCGGCCCUCCCCGCACGCGCUCCGCAUUUUUCCUCUUUCUCGGUUAAUAACAGCUGGUUGGCUGGGGGGAGGAGGGAAGGUGGCCCCGGAGGAGUCUGGGCGGGCGCCUCCCACUCACCCGCGAGCCGCCGUGGGAGCCGAAGGAUGGCGGCGGUAGCAGCGGCUGCCCGGGAGGAGGCGGUACCGAGGUCCGGGGCGCAGACCGCGGCGGUGGCGGCAGUGAGCGGCAGCGGCCCGUCGUGGCGCACCAGAACCGAAACCAGCGGCAGUCGCACAGCCACCUGAGCCGCUCCCUCCCACGGGAACCCGCGAGCGGCGGCCACUGCUCCCGGAACCGGGAACUGCUUCCUCCUUUCCGACUCUCGUCGCCUCCCGCCGACUCGCCUGCCGACUAAGAAGAAGAGGGCGUCAGAAAACGACCGCCCUUCGGGGCGCCGGCCGCGGCGCCUCGGCCCUACCCUCUUUCUCCUGCGCUCGUCCCCCCGCCUCCCGGCGCUCCGGGCGCUACGCGCCGGCCGGGCCCGGGGCAGGGCGGAUAUGGGUGCCAAGCAGAGCGGCCCGGCCGCUGCUAACGGCCGCACCCGGGCGUACUCGGGCUCGGAUUUACCUUCCAGCAGCAGCGGAGGGGCCAAUGGGACCGCGGGCGGCGGCGGAGCCCGGGCUGCGGCCGCGGGGAGGUUUCCGGCUCAGGUGCCCGGCGCGCACCAGCCCAGCGCCUCCGGCGGCGCCGUGGCGGCUUCGGCGGCCCCACGCAGCCGCUCCCUCGGCGGGGCCGUGGGGGCCGUGGCGUCGGGGGCCCGUGCCGCGCAGUCCUCCUUCAGCAUCCCCAACAGCAGCAGCGGCCCGUACGGCUCACAGGACUCGGUCCACAGCAGCCCUGAGGACAGCGGUGGUGGUAGGGACCGGCCGGCAGGCGGGGGCUCCGGCGGGCCGCGCUUGGUGAUCGGCUCCUUACCAGCUCACCUCUCGCCGCACAUGUUUGGAGGAUUUAAGUGCCCUGUAUGCUCAAAAUUUGUACCCUCAGAUGAAAUGGACUUGCAUCUUGUGAUGUGUUUAACAAAGCCAAGAAUAACCUAUAAUGAGGAUGUACUGAGUAAAGAUGCUGGGGAAUGUGCAAUAUGCCUUGAAGAAUUGCAGCAGGGAGAUACUAUAGCACGGCUGCCUUGUUUAUGCAUAUAUCAUAAAGGUGACUUCCUCCACUGAAAUCUUGAACAGCUUCAAGUCAUCCACGAAGAUUGGAAUCAAUGUCUUCCAAACUCCUGUUCAUAUUGAUAUUUUGACCUCCUCCCAUGAAUCAUGAGUGUUCUUAAUGGCAUCUAGAAUGGUGAAUCCUUUCCAAAAGGUUUUCAAUGAACAGGAAGGUCUGAGGAGAGGGAAAGAGAUUGGGAAACAGCUGGUCGGUGGAGCAGACAGAACACACAAAACAUUUAUCACUGCAUAGAUGAAUGGUUUGAAGUAAAUAGAUCUUGCCCUGAGCAUCCUUCAGAUUAAGCAUCAGAUUCCUGCAUUAUAGGUUUUCUUGUAUAUUCAAGAUGCUUGAAAAACCUAGAAGAUAUGAACAUCUGUCUUGGGAAAAAAACGGAAAUAAAAACACAGGCACACUAAGCCAGACAUCUGAGUUUGUGAGACUCGGUAAUACAGAGAUGGACAAUCAUACAAGAAGAAAAAAAAACCUGCUGAAGAGGACAAUUACCAUAGCACUCAGUGUACCAAACAUGCAUAUAAAGGACACACAGGGAUUUUGAAAAUGCUGCACAUCCCUUAAUAGUCAUCUACAUAGGUAAUACUGAUAAACAUUUUGUAUUCAGACGCCAAAGUUAACUGAUUUAAAAGUUGAUUUACUUUUUAUUAGGUUUCUAGAGCUGUGCAACUUGUGUUUUGAUUUUUUUUUGUUUGUUUUUUUAGUUUGGGGUCUCUGUUUUCCCCAGCAUAAUAUUUCUGCAUACAUUUAUUCUUAAAUUGAAAAGCACAUAAUUUAUUUCUUACAAAUUAAAAUCUUAAAUGUGAAACUAAGUUGUGUAAUCAAGCAGUAAAGCAUUCUCUGAAUGCAGACCAUAAUCUCAAGUUGUUCCAUUUUUUCCCCCAAGAUGGAAAAUAGACUUUCUACCUAAAGCUAAAAUUUAUUACUAUUUUUCAAUUAAAGAUUUAACGUUUCCCCAAGAAUGGAAAUAGACUUCUCCAUAGAAAAGGUAAAAUAUGUUAAUAUUUUCCACUUGAAGGUUUAACAUUAUCAGAAUGCAGCCCAAAGAGUAAAUCAAGUUUCAUAAUUAUAUUUUAAUAAAUUGAAUCUAGGUUUGUCUACUGAAUUGCAGUUUAUUAAAUAUAUUGUUUCUUCUUAAAUAAAACUGCUCAGCAAUUAAUCAGCAGUAAAUCAUCUUGCAGCUAUGCAACUUUUAAAAUAAAUGAAUUACUAAUUUUAAGUGCUGCCAGCUAACUUAGUUUUAACGGGUAUUUUUUUUAUUUUCAUAAAAUUAUUUCGUUGUGCUUUGCAUCUUCAGGCAGUUUUUCCACAUUUGGGUAAAAUGUUUAGAAGGUUCUAAACUUAAUAACUUAAUGAAAAGGGUAAAAUAAAAUUUUCUGGAGUGGAGCUUGAGAUAAUUUGAGGGAUAUUUUAUAUACUUUUAAAAAUCAGAAUUUAAUUGGGGUGCCAGAUUUAUAGCAAUUUGCAUCUUUACUUUUCCAGAAAAUCUGGAAGUUAGCAUUUGAUAAAUGAUUUUUUAAGCAAAUAUUUUUUAAUUUAUAAUUUAUUAAUGUGUUACUACUGUAAUUAAAAAUGUUAUUCUACAGAAACUUCUAAAUUCAGUCUUGUGUAGAAAGAAAUGUAUUAAGCAAAUUAUGUGAAUAAAUAUUCCUACAAUAUACAUCUGAAUGGUCUAAAAAAAAAAAAAAAAAGGAAAAAA